This is a transfer RNA of 82 nucleotides. It matches the Rfam family "tRNA". From Rfam's summary of the family: Transfer RNA (tRNA) molecules are approximately 80 nucleotides in length. Their secondary structure includes four short double-helical elements and three loops (D, anti-codon, and T loops). The record is from Rfam.
AUCCGAGUGCUGGAAUUGGUAGACAGACCUAACUUAAAAUUAGGUGAUGGAUUUCGUGUACGUUCAAAUCGUGCCUUGGAUA